RNAcentral lists this ribosomal RNA (253 nucleotides) under uncultured bacterium. Its description in RNAcentral is "partial 16S ribosomal RNA". It matches the Rfam family "Bacterial small subunit ribosomal RNA", at positions 524 to 776 of the family's 1533-position model. The record is from RNAcentral.
UACGAAGGGUGCAAGCGUUACUCGGAAUUACUGGGCGUAAAGCGUGCGUAGGUGGUUCGUUAAGUCGAACGUGAAAUCCCCGGGCUCAACCCGGGAACUGCGUCCGAUACUGGCAGGCUUGAAUUCGGGAGAGGGAUGUGGAAUUCCAGGUGUAGCGGUGAAAUGCGUAGAUAUCUGGAGGAACACCGGUGGCGAAGGCGGCUGCCUGGCCCAAUACUGACACUCAGGUGCGACAGCGUGGGGAGCAAACAGG